GGGUAGAGGUCAUUCAGAACCAUCCUCAAUUCAUUCUUGUUCAAGUGCUUAGUAAUGUCCCUUUCAAUAUUAUUUAUAUCUCCUUUAUGUAUGGUAGCCUCGAUAGGCAGAAGUGGAAGCUCCUUUGGGAUGAUUUGAAAUUUUCCAUGUUGAAAAAAUCUGAUUUGAAAAUGAUUUUCUUGCACAUCAAAAAAUAAAAAUUUUGAAAAUUGACUUGAUUUGUGAUAUUUAUAGCAAUAAACCUUACACCGAAAUUAUACUUGUGUUUUUCGAUAAGCAGAUCCUUGAUUUUUUUGGAUUUUAACCAAAUAAUAUUCUUUAUUAUUCUCAUACCACGAACUACUUCAAGUGUGGGCUCGAACCAAUUGAAUCAAAACAUAAAACUAGAAGAAGUUUUUCUUUUGGAGUGAAAAUAAAAAUUCUCUCUUCUUUAAUAGAAACUGAUAACUCUUGAAAAGAGUUAUAAUUAAUGCCUUUAAACUGGGUCAAUUAUCUGUACUUAAGUGAACUUAGUUGCAUUUUAGGAUAUUAUUUUAGCUUUUUUAGGACAUUGCAUAAGAAGCUUGGACGGUACUUAAAUAUUAAUAUUUGUUACUUUUAAUUGCAUGUGGAAAGGUUGUGUUUGGCGAUUUGGUAGGUGCAGGAUGCGAAGAAAGAAAUAAAGGAAUGCAGAUUUGUUGUGGCAAAAGGUUGGAUAGUUUACCAACACGAAUGUCGUGGCAAUUCCAAGAAGACUGAGUCAACACUCAAUGCAUACUAGUUUCAGCCCAACUGUACUUGUACCGAAAAAUCUGCCUAAAAUAGAGGAGAAAAUAAUCCUGGGAUGUUGGUUUUUAUCCUAGAAAAAAAUUUAAAAAGUGGAGAAGUUAAAAAUGGUUUGUUGGAAAAAAAGUUAUAAAAAACCAAAGGAGGAAACCUUAAAGGACGAACAAGGGUGAAGAUCCAUAUGCGAAACUAGAGGCUAGCGAUUGACUAGAGACAGAAAGAGGAAGACGGAGACAGUCCCUCUCAACCAUCAGAGGACACUGUGUCAUUGGAGUAUGAACUGGACACAUGAAAGCUGUCUUCCCGUCAUUCUUCUAUUAUUUCUUAACUAUUUCCCCAUAAAUUGAUUUGAUGAAAACGAUG
RNAcentral lists this long non-coding RNA (1128 nucleotides) under Gossypium barbadense (sea-island cotton). Its description in RNAcentral is "long non-coding RNA (GBAR_LNC009418)". The record is from RNAcentral. Lineage: Eukaryota; Viridiplantae; Streptophyta; Magnoliopsida; Malvales; Malvaceae.